GACGAACGCUGGCGGCGUGCUUAACACAUGCAAGUCGAACGGAAAGGCCCUGCUUUUGUGGGGUGCUCGAGUGGCGAACGGGUGAGUAACACGUGAGUAACCUGCCCUUGACUUUGGGAUAACUUCAGGAAACUGGGGCUAAUACCGGAUAGGAGCUCCUGCUGCAUGGUGGGGGUUGGAAAGUUUCGGCGGUUGGGUAUGGACUCGCGGCUUAUCAGCUUGUUGGUGGGGUAGUUGCUUACCAAGGCUUUGACGGGUAGCCGGCCUGAGAGGGUGACCGGCGACAAUGGGACUGAGAUACGGACCAGACUCCUACGGGAGGCAGCAGUGGGGAAUAUUGCACAAUGGGCGGAAGCCUGAUGCAGCAACGCCGCGUGCGGGAUGACGGCCUUCGGGUUGUAAACAGAUUUCGACUGUGACGAAGAGUGAGUGACGGUAAUGGGUAAAGAAGCACCGGCUAACUACGUG
Molecule: ribosomal RNA, 468 nt
Filed under: uncultured bacterium
Lineage: Bacteria
Description: partial 16S ribosomal RNA
Rfam family: Bacterial small subunit ribosomal RNA
Source: RNAcentral